UCCGUAGGUGAACCUGCGGAGGGAUCAUUACCGAGUUUACAACUCCCAAACCCAAUGUGAACGUUACCAAACUGUUGCCUCGGCGGGAUCUCUGCCCCGGGUGCGUCGCAGCCCCGGACCAAGGCGCCCGCCGGAGGACCAACCUAAAACUCUUAUUGUAUACCCCCUCGCGGGUUUUUUUUAUAAUCUGAGCCUUCUCGGCGCCUCUCGUAGGCGUUUCGAAAAUGAAUCAAAACUUUCAACAACGGAUCUCUUGGUUCUGGCAUCGAUGAAGAACGCAGCGAAAUGCGAUAAGUAAUGUGAAUUGCAGAAUUCAGUGAAUCAUCGAAUCUUUGAACGCACAUUGCGCCCGCCAGUAUUCUGGCGGGCAUGCCUGUCCGAGCGUCAUUUCAACCCUCGAACCCCUCCGGGGGGUCGGCGUUGGGGAUCGGCCCUCCCUUAGCGGGUGGCCGUCUCCGAAAUACAGUGGCGGUCUCGCCGCAGCCUCUCCUGCGCAGUAGUUUGCACACUCGCAUCGGGAGCGCGGCGCGUCCACAGCCGUUAAACACCCAACUUCUGAAAUGUUGACCUCGGAUCAGGUAGGAAUACCCGCUGAACUUAA
RNAcentral lists this ribosomal RNA (601 nucleotides) under Trichoderma sp. CRCF28. RNAcentral describes it as "eukaryotic LSU rRNA". The stretch from base 234 to 387 matches the Rfam family "5.8S ribosomal RNA". The record is from RNAcentral. Lineage: Eukaryota; Fungi; Ascomycota; Sordariomycetes; Hypocreales; Hypocreaceae.